Molecule: ribosomal RNA, 497 nt
Filed under: uncultured bacterium
Lineage: Bacteria
Description: partial 16S ribosomal RNA
Rfam family: Bacterial small subunit ribosomal RNA
Source: RNAcentral
GAUGAACGCUGGCGGCGUGCCUAAUACAUGCAAGUCGAGCGAACAGAUGAGGAGCUUGCUCCUCUGACGUUAGCGGCGGACGGGUGAGUAACACGUGGAUAACCUACCUAUAAGACUGGGAUAACUUCGGGAAACCGGAGCUAAUACCGGAUAAUAUAUUGAACCGCAUGGUUCAAUAGUGAAAGACGGUUUUGCUGUCACUUAUAGAUGGAUCAGCGCCGCAUUAGCUAGUUGGUAAGGUAACGGCUUACCAAGGCAACGAUGCGUAGCCGACCUGAGCGGGUGAUCGGCCACACGGGAGCUGGGACACGGUCCAGACGCCUACGGGAGGCAGCAGUAGGGAAUCUUCCGCAAUGGGCGAGAGCCUGACGGAGCAACGCCGCGUGAGUGAUGAAGGUCUUCGGAUCGUAAAACUCUGUUAUUAGGGAAGAACAAAUGUGUAAGUAACUAUGCACGUCUUGACGGUACCUAAUCAGUAAGCCACGGCUAACUACGUG